Alligator sinensis (Chinese alligator) is the source of this 6871-nucleotide long non-coding RNA. RefSeq lists it as uncharacterized. The transcript has 3 exons. Lineage: Eukaryota; Metazoa; Chordata; Crocodylia; Alligatoridae. The record is from RefSeq and is a predicted model, not a curated record.
GGUUAUAAUGAGGUUGGACAGGAAGGGAGGUGGGGACUGGGCAGCAGCAAAUGGCAGAGAGGGGAGGAUCAGGCAACAGUGAAUUGCAUGAGAGGACAGGGGGUCAGAAUGGGAGAGCAGGUCGGGAGCUGGUAUACGAGGUGGGACAGAGGCUGGGGCUAAGCAGUGGCAAAGAGGAGGGGAACAGCUGAUAGGAAGUGAAAAGGGAGCUGCUCACUUGCUACUGUCAUAUUAAUAACACUCAGGGCCUAUACAGCACUGACCAGCCAUCAAUCCCAGCACAUCUGGUAAGGAGGUCACUACCCUUAUUCCCCUUUUACAGAUGGGGAAGUGAAGGGCAGAGAAUGGAUUUGUUCACGGUCGCACUACAGGGAAGGCUGGACAGUCUGAGACCUUUUGCAGCAUCCAUCAGUCCUGAGGACUUCCCCGCAGCCAUCACCGGUUUAUUUACAGCAAUUUAUAGCGACGAGAGCCCAGCAAGAGCAGCAUCAGCCAGGCGCGGGGGGCAGGGAGGAGUGCUGGAGGGGCUGCCCUUGCUCCAGAAGAACUUGUGAUUGGGGUAUGGUGCCUCUGUAUCGACCUGUCAGCUGGGCCCUCCCCCUCCGCUCGCUCCCAGCUCCCCAGUGCCAACGUGCGCUCUCCCCAGAGAUGAAAGGACCUGUGCCAGCUGGAGGCCUUGACUCUCCCCACUUUGCUGCUAUCUGUGCUGGCAGCCCCCCAGGAAACACUCUCACUCUGUGUACGUCCCCCCCUCCCGUCAUUUGCUCACACCGCUGCUGGGAACCGGCUUUCCCACCAGACUGCCGUCUCCCGGGCAGAUUGCAGAGCAGGCCUGGCAGCAAGUGCAAGGAGGGUGGGAAAUAUGGGAUCCAGGCACCCCGCCCAUGUGACAGCACGCUCUUGCCAGGUGUUUUUCAACCUGACGUGCCCAAGAUGGAGGCUGAAAGGAAUUUAUCGUGCGAGGCUGCUGGGCGGCUCAUGCCAGGCUAGGCAGUCAGUGGACAGGCUGCAGGCAGGACUCGGGAUGCUAUCGGCAUUAUUCAAGGGGAACGGAGCCUAAGAUUCAUGUGGCUGCUGCAGGGAACCUGCUGAGCUCAGGAGACUGCUGCUGACAGCUGCUUAAUGGAACUGGCUGGUUAUGCUCCAGCACCGUCACCUUUGAAUCGCACCAGCCGGGACCCCAGUUCCCUCACAGCUGCAUCCCGUCAGGGCCGGGCAAGGAUCCUGGGCUGUGAACUUCCUCCCACCAGUGCCCUGUGAGUGCCGGGCCUGGCUCCAAGUGCCCUGUGAGCGUCAGACAGGAAGAUACAAAAAGCCAAUUUCCUAGCAUAGUGGCAGCGGCUCCUGGGAAUGCCAGCCAAGCAACACUACUGGCUACAGCUGGGGGGGAUGUAUGGAAGCCAGUGCAAUGCUAAGUUUCUCCUUCCUCUGUAGAGCCCACCUGCCUGCCUUGAGAGGAGAGCUUUUUCCUCUGAUCUGAUCUCCCAAAGUUAUCUCCCCCCAGGCAUGCGCUUUGCCAGCCGUCUCUGGAUUAGCUCCCUCCAGCUUCUCCCAUGCUCACAGGGCUGCUUUCCAGCAUGUUGUGUUCAAGACCUCUCCCUCCACUGCUGGCUACUUUGCUGGGGCUUGGGUUGACAUUUCAGUGAGGAUAGACCAUUCUAGCCCCUAGGGCCAGGUCCCCACAGCUAGUAACACUGACAGUGUUUCCUACACCAACUUCUGCAGGGAGACUCUGAGACUGAAGGGACUAGAGCCGUUCCUGCCAUGCCCAGCACUGCUACAGCAAGCUGGGUUGGGAGCAGCUGCACUCACGCAGCUUCUUGCUAGGAGAAAUGACAGUAUCGUGGAGAGCGACUCCCCCUGACAGAGGACGGGGACCAGCAGAGCUGGGAACUCCAAGGGGCGGAGGCUGCUACUGUGGGAGAAUGACCCUGUCUGGACUGGAAAGUCAGCUGGCUCUAACUGGACCAGCAACUGAAGCAGCAAAUACCCUCUUAGUUUGCAUGCAAUGAUGUCAGUAUAAAAGUCCUUAUAGCAGCAUAGCAUAAUCCAGGUCAGGAAAUAAAUGACUGCACAUCAGAACAAAUGAGAUGGGCAGAAAUUAUCUUUAAACGAGUAUAACUGUGGAUACAUGAGGGCUUUUGCUGGAGUAUCUAUAUAGGUAAAAAUAACCCCCUAAGCCAUAGGAUUUUAUCUUACAUGCAUAGGCCAGGUCUUAAUGGAACCCAUGCUUUGACCUCUUCAUACCGGGCCUCCAACUAGCUCAGGUAUUACCGGCUCAUCAGUAUGGAAUCAGCAUCUGUCAUGUAUUUGUCUUCCUCACCCUGUGAGGCAUGGAAGUGCCUUUACCCCUGUUUUACAGAAGGAUGGAGACAGAGAGACAUUAAGUGAUUUGCCCAAGGUCACCCAGGAAUUCCAUAGCAGAGUUUGAAAUUAAACAGGGGUCAUCUGUGCCCUGUGUUGGUGCCCUAACCACUGGACCACACUUCCUGCUUCCUGCUGGAAAGGCCAGUAAUAGAGCAUUCAGCCCUGAGCACGGCCCUUUUAUGCAAAGAAGAAAGGAAAUGCGAUGGCUCGAGAUGUUUUGUGACCUCCCAGAACCUGUUUCCUCUAGAAUAAAAGAAAAAUGCCCCUUUCCCUGCCAAGCCAGAAGGUGCACUUGUCCUGCUCCCACCUUCUCUCCCCUUCAUCCUGGGAUCGGAGUCUCUCUUUCCAGGGUGCCAUGUUUGGUGUUCUGUGGUUUGCCCCUCUGCUACAUUAGCUCCAAAGGGAGGAACAAAUGAAGAGAGAGAAGAGCCACUCCUCUCCGAUCAGAGCCAGAUUCCCCCAGCAGGACUGAUGAGAUGCAGGAGAACCAGCUGUGUCACUGCAGGAGUUGUGAGGAAGGAAGCCAGUGGGAGGAGAGCAAUUCUUCCCGGCAGGGCUGCUGUGGGUGAUUCAGCAGACGGGGCAUUCUCCUCUAGCAAUGAAGAUGACCAGAGAGUGGAAUAAAGCCCAUUUGUGUGGAAAGCCCCAUGGCACUUGAGAUGCAACACAGCCAGGGCUGAAAGGGCCUCUCUGGAUGACUGCCAGGAGCACUUUGGGAUGUCUGUCUGCUGAGCCUGAAGAUUUGGGCCCAGGUGGAAGCAGCAGUGUGCGCUGUUCAAAAGGAGACAGAAUGGAGGUCAUCAGUGAUCAGCUAAAGCCUAUGUAAUUUUUAACUGAAAAACAAGAAAGAGCCAGGCCCUGCACUGCAUUUCUCAUUGCAAUCACUGGAAGUAAAACCCUGGGUAAUAUUAAACCUGCCUCCUGUCCAGGUAUGCAAGUGUAACCAACUGAGACACGCAUCUGCUGAGAAAGCUUUUAGGAGAAGCCAGGGAAAUCAGGAGCAUAACUCACUUUCUUGGUGGCCUCUAGCGGCCAAAGGGAGGCAUUUAAACUUCAGCAAGAGCAUCCCAGUAAAUCACAUCUCUCCAUUCCUACUUCACCAGCAUGACAAGCUCCACCGAGCACUGCCAAAACUGGAAGAGACCUACCUUGUAGAGGACCUUACUGUGCAGGGAGCUGAAGAGAAGGGAAACCUCGCACAUAGAAAGAGAGAACCUUUCACCAAUCCUUCCCAAACAUGUGGUGUCGUCUGGAAAACCACACAGGGCUAGAGCGAUGAUUCACAUUUUCCCAGCAGAAUCAGAUGCAAGUGUCCAAGGGUGCUGAUAGUUCACUACUAGAACGCGGAGAACGGCACAGCGUGGAAGCCUGAGCUUAGGACUAAACUAUGGGGAAAACAAGCAGGCACAAAGCGCAGCCAUUUGCAAGCUGUGUGACAUGGACUCUAGUUCUCAGUUAAAGCAGGCCCUGUUUCUACCAUCAGGUAAAGGGGACAGCUGAUGUCAAACCAACCUGAAGGCACGGCUCCCAGCCCCUGACACUGUAAGACCAUAAAUUACCAUCAGUCCCAGGAUUUCUGUAGCUCCCCACAGGGACAGACUCUUGCAGGGACCCAGAACACAAAGAAUAUAAUUUAAAAUCACCACGACCUCUCUGCCCAAGUGCAGGAAUUGUAUAGCUGAGCCUUGUAUUCACGUAUGCGCAUGAGAACAGUGCUUGGUUUGAUGGGUUUUAUCAAAAUGCAUUUAAAAUGAUAGUGAGGAAUGCAGGGUGUAUUGGGAAUAGCAGGCUGAAACAAUGGAUGGGAAAGACAAAAGGGAGAAAUGGAAAGUGUUCAAAGACAAAAUUAUCAUCUCCCCUGGGGCAACAGAUUCUCUCCAGCAAUGAAAACCAAGAUAAGGGUGAAAAAGUUUUUAGGGAGAGUUUUGUGCAACACAGGAGGAUUGGAAAGGGCAUAGGAAUGGAAUUAAGUGGUUGGAAAAUGCACAAGAGCAAAGAGUAAGUUUAAUUUCAGCAACUGGUGUGAUAGGGAAAGCAUUAACAGGAUAAGAACAGGUCAGCUGAAUUCAGAAAAAGAUCAGAAAGCGAGAGAGAGAGAGAAAGUUCUGCAAAGAAACCUGGAAGACUCAGGAGGAGGAAGUGGUGCAUAGCCUCUCCCUUGUUUUUCAAGGAUAUUUUUGAAGACAACACCGUGCACAAGACUACUCGACAAGAACAGUGCGUGCAGUCUGCUGUUUGCGUGCAGAAGGAACGGGCUUGGCCAUCAACCACCCAGGGGUCUGGCACAUGGAAGCAGUUGGGGAAGGUGGGAGCUGGCAAGCAGAGAGCCAUGGGAAUCAGUAAACAGGAUCAAUUUUGUUUAAUGACCUGGAAGAAGGAAAAUGCAAUUGGCUGAUAGAAUGUGCUGAUGGUAAAGCUGGGAGGGAGGGAAAGCCUGCUGUAGGAAAGAGGAGUUCAGUCAAUUCAGAGCAAUUUGGAUUGUGUAGGGGAGCAGGGCAGAAAUCCACACUGAAAUGAUACAAUGCAGGAAGGGAAAUAACCAGGCCGCAGACAGCACUCUAUAAACGCUGAGUUGAAGAAGAACCUGGGAGUGGCAGACGCAAUCCGAAAACCUUUGACAUGGGGUGUGAAUGCAGUAAAAGAUCAAAAGCAACAGUAGGCUACAUUCAGAGACGGGAGAUGACCCUGGAUCAGCAUGAGGGAUCACAGAGAGCUCCUCGAGAAAUCUCUGCACUUCUGAAAAAGCAGGGAAAGCAGAGCACAGAAGUGGAGCCACUGCAGAGGGGAGCACAAAGGGCAUCAACGAGAGUGGAUAAGCUUUGGGAGGAAUUCACUGAAGUGAGUGCAUAUGAAAUUCUCGGAGGAGAAGGCAGGCCACGUCCUGCAAAAGCCUUCAAGCUAUGGACAAAUGCAAGAAGCAAAGAACAUGAACUUAAGCGGAGACAGGAACACACUGGAGAGGAACACAGGCAGAAUACCUUUGUGUGAACAGUGCUGACAAAUGAGCCCAGGGAAGAGAGCAGGGACAAUAACUAAACUUCUCAACGUACCGGUAUGGUACAUGGCUCAAUAUUUACGAGGUAAGUACUGAGGCACGCACACACAAAAGCUCAGAUCCAUCAGGGUAUUUGGGAGCCUCAAACUCCAAUGGCAUUAGACAGGAGUCCAGUGCCUACAUAUCUUGGUGGCUUCACGCUUAAGUGUUUUUACAGCAUAGUAAAAGAGAGCAGGAAAGAGACCUGGGGAGGGGGGCGAUUCCUGAAGAAUAACGCUUUGGGCUCUUUUUUCCUGUAUAGUUAUCUCACGUUAUCUGCACUUGAGGUCUCCUCUUGAGUUAGCUUAGUUCAAGUGGUCACACUGCAAAACAACACACCAGCUGCAAAGUGACUGGGCUGACAGCACAGGGUAGCUGUGUCUCCACUGUACUUUUGACAUAAUGGUCAGCAACACUCCAGCUUCAAACCAAACCUUCUGACAGGCCAGGCUUAAACACCUUUCACUCAUACUGAAGAUCUGCCUGUGUGGAUGGGAGCUGGGCAAGGAGCAGCACUGGAACUAUACCUUGAGUUAACACCACAGUGAGCUCAAGCCCAUAACCUACUGGACUGAAAAAAUAUCACAUGUGUGGAGAGUGAGGGGGGAAGAGAUCAUCUGAAGGAAAAAAACUGUAAACUCCAAAAACACUUGAGAGUGGGCGUGCAAUACAAAGAGAAUGACCUAAAUGUAAUUUUUGCUCUCGGCCUUGGUUAGCUAUUUUUAGCAGCUUGCUGGGUUCAAACCAGAGAACUCUGCAACGACUAGAGAGCAAGGGGGGCAACAGGAGACAGCAAUUUUAUUUUUUUUUUAAAUACCUGGAACAUUUAGUCUUUUAAAUAUGCUCAUGUGUUUGAUUUUCUCCUUUGGGGUUUCAACAACAUUCCUGAUAAGCACCUCGCGGGUUCUGUUUGCAGGAGCAAAGUCCAGAUGGACGAUUCCAGUUCACACAUGUGAAAGGGCGUUUUUCAGACCGAUCCAUAGAAACAAGAACCCACCCAAUCUUCAGGCCUAAAUUAACUUCAUCAACAACCAAGGUGACACGGAGAGCCUUACUUAACCAGAUCCAGAAAGAGCUGCGAUUUCUCUGCAGCUAUAACAUGGGUCACGUUGUUUCAGAGGUCUCUGCUCUGGAGUUACUCUAACAAGCUGCAUUGUAUUAGCAGCCUUGGGCAUAUCAUAUGCAAUGCCCCUUCCCCUCCUGGUGACACCCUAGCUGACUGUUGCCUAGCUAUGUCCACAAAACAGAACCUCAGCAGGGGCAGAGCUGCAAACUUACUCCGUUACCAGCACCAAAGAGCAGCUGAACUCUCACAGAUUUUAUCCCCUUUUCCCUGCCAUACUUGAGAGCUAAGUCAGAAAGAGGUGUGCCACUGGCACGGCAAAAUAACCUUUUUUAUUUCAUCCCAUACAAGGCUCUGCUCUGCCCGGCACAGCAUGACCCACAGGUUUUCUUCCCCUGGCAGCUUCA